This 21-nucleotide microRNA is filed under the name Oryza sativa (Asian cultivated rice). RNAcentral describes it as "osa-miR3980a-3p". RNAcentral also lists the same sequence under 1 other name. Lineage: Eukaryota; Viridiplantae; Streptophyta; Magnoliopsida; Poales; Poaceae. The record is from miRBase by way of RNAcentral.
CUGGCCGAGGCCGUCGAUUCU